GGAUUAGAUACCCUGGUAGUCCACGCCGUAAACGAUGAGAACUAGAUGUCGGGAGGAAUUGCCUUUCGGUGUCGCAGCUAACGCGUUAAGUUCUCCGCCUGGGGAGUACGCCGGCAACGGUAAAACUCAAAGGAGUUGACGGGGACCCGCACAAGCGGUGGAGCAUGUGGUUUAAUUCGAUGCAACGCGAAGAACCUUACCUGCCCUUGACAUCCUCGGAACUUGUCAGAGAUGACUUGGUGCCUUCGGGAACCGAGUGACAGGUGCUGCAUGGCUGUCGUCAGCUCGUGCUG
Molecule: ribosomal RNA, 293 nt
Filed under: uncultured bacterium
Lineage: Bacteria
Description: partial 16S ribosomal RNA
Rfam family: Bacterial small subunit ribosomal RNA
Source: RNAcentral